This 358-nucleotide ribosomal RNA is filed under the name uncultured Bacteriovorax sp. RNAcentral's name for it is "bacterial SSU rRNA". It matches the Rfam family "Bacterial small subunit ribosomal RNA", at positions 1023 to 1382 of the family's 1533-position model. Lineage: Bacteria; Pseudomonadati; Bdellovibrionota; Bacteriovoracia; Bacteriovoracales; Bacteriovoracaceae. The record is from RNAcentral.
GGAAUGUGGAGAGAGGCGCUGCAUGGCUGUCGUCAGCUCGUGUCGUGAGAUGUUGGGUUAAGUCUCGCAACGAGCGCAACCCCUAUCCUUAGUUGCCAGCAUUAAGUUGGGCACUCUAGGGAGACUGCCCGGGCUAACCGGGAGGAAGGUGGGGAUGACGUCAAGUCCUCAUGGCCCUUAUGUCCAGGGCUACACACGUAAUACAAUGGUCGGUACAAUGGGACGCGACACAGCGAUGUGAAGCCAAUCCCGAAAAGCCGGUCUCAGUCCGGAUUGGAGUCUGCAACUCGACUCCAUGAAGUUGGAAUCGCUAGUAAUCGUGGAUCAGCACGCCACGGUGAAUACGUUCCCGGGCCUU